Molecule: long non-coding RNA, 2005 nt
Organism: Phyllostomus discolor (pale spear-nosed bat)
Lineage: Eukaryota; Metazoa; Chordata; Mammalia; Chiroptera; Phyllostomidae
Exons: 2
Source: RefSeq, a predicted model, not a curated record
UGCGCUGUCUACUGGGGAUCUGGUCUGCAACCCAGGCAUGAGCCCUGACUGGGGAUUGAACUAGAAGUACUCUGGUUUUCAGGGCGGUGCUCAAUCCACUGAGCCACAGCCAGAGUUUAAUUUUUCAGUAUGUGGAUUCCACUUGAAUAUCCUUUCAGAGCAUUACACUUAUAGGAAAACUCAGAGGUUUCCAUUUACUGUAGAGGAUACAGAGGUGAAUUAAGCCCAGGGUCCUGUCUGAGGAUUUCAGAGUAUUUUGGGUACAGAAUAUCUCUGUAGAGUAUGAGAGAGAUAGAGCUAAAAAGUUCAGAGAAUUUAGAGAUUCUCUCCUAGCAUCAGGAUUAUCAUUGAACAUUCUCAGCACUGUUGUGCAACUGAUUUUUUUUUCUUAAAUGAUAUGAUUGGUUUAUUAUUCCACUGUACUGUAGGUAUACCACAUGUCUUUUCAUUUGAAUUGGUAAGUUUUUCUAAUCUUAACUUGGUUCAGAAUGGUAAGAUCUUUUAGCUAACAUUUAUCUUUUUUGAGGAGUUUGAAGAGAGUCAACAUUGGUGAAUAGAAGUAUUCAACUGAAGUAAACAGGUUUUUGAAAUGUCCAGUAUAUGAAUAAUGAGAAUUUUGUUUAAUUACUAAAUAAUUUGAAUUAAUAGCAAAAGAUUUUAUUUAACUUGUUACUUUUGCUUUGUAACUUCUUAAUAUUUAGAGCCCUUUUAUAGAACCUGUCCUACAGUGUAACAUGAUUUUAUCUAUAUAUUUUUAAAUCCUUACCCAAGGAUGUGUUUAUUGAUUUCAAAGAGGAAAGGGGGUAGGGAGAAACAGACAGAUGACACAUCGAUGUGAGAGAAACAUUGGUUGCGGGAUUGAUCCCACAACCAAGGUAUGUACCCUGGUUGGGAAUUGAACCUGCAACCUUUUGGUGUACUGGAUGACACUCCAACCAACUAAGCCACCUGACCAGGGCAUGGUGAUUAUAGUUUUAAAAAUCUUUUGUAGGCCAAUCAAUAUCUAGUUAUCUUCUGUACUUCACAUUAAGGGCAAUAAGCUCUGGUAGUAUCACCUGAAAUGGCAGAAUUUUAUACCAGAUCACACAGAAUAGAUAUGAAUGUCAGUUUCCAUGUGUAGCUAUUAAUUAAACUACUAGUAAUGUAGGAGAUAGGGAUUUGAGUUUGUAAGCAUGCUCUGCUGAUGAAAUGUAUGUGUUUCUGCUUCAAAUUUCAAAUAAUUAAAAAUACAUGGGUAAGUUUGCGUCUUUUACUUAGGACAUACCUUACUAUAUUGUGUUUCAUGUUUCAAAUCCUUUCUGGUUGUAAAUUUGUCGUGUUUCUCACAAGAUGUUUCCUUGAUUUGGCAUAUUUUUUUUUUUUCUAAAUCCUCUUUUUUAAAAAUUAAUAUGCUUGUUAGAGUAGUUUCUCUUGUAAAAAACUUUGAAUUUUAUUCCAUUACCACUUAAAUAUUAUUUAAAAAUUGCUAUACAUAUAUUGAAUCUGUUGCUUUGAGUUAUCUACAUAGAAAAAUAUAUACUGGGACACAGUUUGAAAUACAUUAAGUUCAUUAAGAUAAUUUGCUUAAUAUCUAGUAUCACAAACAGAAGAAGAUACUCUCUAUUAAAUAUGUGUUUAAUUUUCCACACAUUAGAACACAUUGUUUGCUUCUUCCACUGUUUGCUUCUGUUUGUGGUACUAAGUUGGAAUAGUUUCGUAUGCAGUUUAUAUUUAUUCUUUGGCUUCAUCUUUCGUACCUUAAUCUGGCCAGGCAUGAUAGUAGUUUUGACUUUGAUGAGAAAAUAUACUGGUAAGGGGUUGGUAAAAAAGUGCAAACUAGUCUCUAGUGUUAUGUGAGGUUUGGUUUGAUACUAUAUUAUAAAGUUCUGUGUUUGUGUUAUAGCUGUGAUACUGUUAUUGAUACCAUUGUUGCUGAUUUACAAUUUCUAUUUAAAAGUCGUCUGAGUUUGGGAUAAAAUAACUAAAUUUGAAGACUAAUUCCUAAUCAAUAUCAUUUUUUAAAACA